This is a long non-coding RNA of Triplophysa rosa, 461 nucleotides long. RefSeq lists it as uncharacterized. The record is from RefSeq and is a predicted model, not a curated record. NCBI's taxonomy places the organism in Eukaryota, Metazoa, Chordata, Actinopteri, Cypriniformes, Nemacheilidae. The transcript is spliced from 3 exons.
AGCGGGUGGUAAUACGGACAGACUCGUGUGUUAUUGCACUGGAGAUCAUGCUCUGAAUCCACAGCGCUUCAGCUCAUCCGGACAGACCGAGCUCCAGGGCACACGUGUGUGUGUUGAGGCGGUUGGACAUCAGUAUUCAGGGUGGUCGUUGAGGGUCCGUCUCUUGUUCUCGCAGCGGGCAGGUUUGUAUUAGCACACUGUUGAGGAGCGAGUCGAGUCGAGUCUCUGGGGAGCGAGUGGAGAACAGACGCCCUGCUGGUGCUGCAUGAGAAAUCACCUCCAUUCUGCUGAGAAUCUGGGUGUGAGGCAGACAGACAACACACACAGAGAGAGAGAGACCGCCCGGAGAGAAAAGUCAAUACAUACCGAGAGAACAUGUUUUCCUAAAGAGCAGCCGGUCUGCAGCCGAGAGAAAGUCUUGUUGAGUACAUUAACACUAAUGGACACAUAUUGAUGACGUC